GUCGAACGGAAAGGCCCAGCUUGCUGGGUGCUCGAGUGGCGAACGGGUGAGUAACACGUGGGUGAUCUGCCCUGCACUUUGGGAUAAGCCUGGGAAACUGGGUCUAAUACCGGAUACACCUCGCUGGCUGCAUGGUUGGUGGGGGAAAGCUUUUGCGGUGUGGGAUGGGCCCGCGGCCUAUCAGCUUGUUGGUGGGGUGAUGGCCUACCAAGGCGACGACGGGUAGCCGGCCUGAGAGGGUGUCCGGCCACACUGGGACUGAGAUACGGCCCAGACUCCUACGGGAGGCAGCAGUGGGGAAUAUUGCACAAUGGGCGCAAGCCUGAUGCAGCGACGCCGCGUGGGGGAUGACGGCCUUCGGGUUGUAAACCUCUUUCAAUAGGGACGAAGCGCAAGUGACGGUACCUAUAGAAGACGCACCGGCCAACUACGUGCCAGCAGCCSGGG
This 447-nucleotide ribosomal RNA is filed under the name Mycobacterium sp. FI-06142. RNAcentral's name for it is "bacterial SSU rRNA". It matches the Rfam family "Bacterial small subunit ribosomal RNA", at positions 61 to 520 of the family's 1533-position model. The record is from RNAcentral. Lineage: Bacteria; Bacillati; Actinomycetota; Actinomycetes; Mycobacteriales; Mycobacteriaceae.